AUAUAUUUUAUUUAGAUAAAUGCAAUGAUUCUUUCGCCUUUUGCUAAAGAAUACCGUAUGCUCGUUGAAUUAAAUGGCAUACGCUUAAUUUUUGAGAGCUUCUUCUAUUAUUGAAGGGC
Molecule: non-coding RNA, 119 nt
Organism: Helianthus annuus (common sunflower)
Lineage: Eukaryota; Viridiplantae; Streptophyta; Magnoliopsida; Asterales; Asteraceae
Source: Rfam